CGACCGCUUUUCUUUCAAUAUGAUCGAAAAGCCAAGCCCGGACGGACAGGCGGGUCGAAAGCCGA
Molecule: small RNA, 65 nt
Filed under: Ruminococcus sp. YE71
Lineage: Bacteria; Bacillati; Bacillota; Clostridia; Eubacteriales; Oscillospiraceae
Description: Streptococcus sRNA SpF59 (ldcC RNA)
Rfam family: Streptococcus sRNA SpF59 (ldcC RNA)
Source: Rfam by way of RNAcentral